RNAcentral lists this ribosomal RNA (369 nucleotides) under uncultured organism. Its description in RNAcentral is "bacterial SSU rRNA". It matches the Rfam family "Bacterial small subunit ribosomal RNA", at positions 526 to 896 of the family's 1533-position model. The record is from RNAcentral.
CGGAGGAUCCAAGCGUUUAUCCGGAUUCAUUGGGUUUAAAGGUGCGUAGGCGGGUAUAGUAAGUCAGUGGUGAAAACCUGCAGCUUAACUGCAGAACUGCCAUUGAUACUGCUAACCUAGAGUACAGCUGAUGUGGGCGGAAUGUGUCGUGUAGCGGUGAAAUGCUUAGAUAUGACACAGAACACCGAUUGCGAAGGCAGCUCACAAAACUGUAACUGACGCUGAGGCACGAAAGCGUGGGGAUCGAACAGGAUUAGAUACCCUGGUAGUCCACGCCGUAAACGAUGAUCACUCGAUGUUGGCGAUAUACUGUCAGCGUCCAAGCGAAAGCGAUAAGUGAUCCACCUGGGGAGUACGAUCGCAAGAUUG